RNAcentral lists this ribosomal RNA (477 nucleotides) under uncultured bacterium. Its description in RNAcentral is "partial 16S ribosomal RNA". It matches the Rfam family "Bacterial small subunit ribosomal RNA", at positions 30 to 507 of the family's 1533-position model. The record is from RNAcentral.
AUUGAACGCUGGCGGCAUGCCUUACACAUGCAAGUCGAACGGUAACAGGUUAAGCUGACGAGUGGCGAACGGGUGAGUAAUGUAUCGGAACGUGCCCAGUCGUGGGGGAUAACUGCUCGAAAGAGCAGCUAAUACCGCAUACGACCUGAGGGUGAAAGCGGGGGAUCGCAAGACCUCGCGCGAUUGGAGCGGCCGAUAUCAGAUUAGGUAGUUGGUGAGGUAAAGGCUCACCAAGCCGACGAUCUGUAGCUGGUCUGAGAGGAUGACCAGCCACACUGGGACUGAGACACGGCCCAGACUCCUACGGGAGGCAGCAGUGGGGAAUUUUGGACAACGGGCGCAAGCCUGAUCCAGCCAUGCCGCGUGCGGGAAGAAGGCCUUCGGGUUGUAAACCGCUUUUGUCAGGGAAGAAAAGGUUCUGGCUAAUACCUGGGACUCAUGACGGUACCUGAAGAAUAAGCACCGGCUAACUACGUG